This 27-nucleotide small RNA is filed under the name Bombyx mori (domestic silkworm). Its description in RNAcentral is "ovarian small RNA-35364". The record is from RNAcentral. Lineage: Eukaryota; Metazoa; Arthropoda; Insecta; Lepidoptera; Bombycidae.
UGUAAUCAAAUGAUACGCAAUGCCAAG